UGGACGAAGUCUGACGGAGCAACGCCGCGUGAGUGAUGAAGGUUUUCGGAUCGUAAAACUCUGUUGUUAGGGAAGAACAAGUACCGUUCGAAUAGGGCGGUACCUUGACGGUACCUAACCAGAAAGCCACGGCUAACUACGUGCCAGCAGCCGCGGUAAUACGUAGGUGGCAAGCGUUGUCCGGAAUUAUUGGGCGUAAAGCGCGCGCAGGCGGUUUCUUAAGUCUGAUGUGAAAGCCCCCGGCUCAACCGGGGAGGGUCAUUGGAAACUGGGGAACUUGAGUGCAGAAGAGGAGAGUGGAAUUCCACGUGUAGCGGUGAAAUGCGUAGAGAUGUGGAGGAACACCAGUGGCGAAGGCGACUCUCUGGUCUGUAACUGACGCUGAGGCGCGAAAGCGUGGGGAGCGAACAGGAUUAGAUACCCUGGUAGUCCACGCCGUAAACGAUGAGUGCUAAGUGUUAGAGGGUUUCCGCCCUUUAGUGCUGCAGCAAACGCAUUAAGCACUCCGCCUGGGGAGUACGGUCGCAAGACUGAAACUCAAAGGAAUUGACGGGGGCCCGCACAAGCGGUGGAGCAUGUGGUUUAAUUCGAAGCAACGCGAAGAACCUUACCAGGUCUUGACAUCCUCUGACAACCCUAGAGAUAGGGCUUCCCCUUCGGGGGCAGAGUGACAGGUGGUGCAUGGUUGUCGUCAGCUCGUGUCGUGAGAUGUUGGGUUAAGUCCCGCAACGAGCGCAACCCUUGAUCUUAGUUGCCAGCAUUCAGUUGGGCACUCUAAGGUGACUGCCGGUGACAAACCGGAGGAAGGUGGGGAUGACGUCAAAUCAUCAUGCCCCUUAUGACCUGGGCUACACACGUGCUACAAUGGGCAGAACAAAGGGCAGCGAAGCCGCGAGGCUAAGCCAAUCCCACAAAUCUGUUCUCAGUUCGGAUCCGCAGUCUGCAACUCGACUGCGUGAAGCUGGAAUCGCUAGUAAUCGCGAUCAGCAUGCCGCGGUGAAUACGUACCCGGGACCUGGUACACGUCGUCCGUCACACCACGAGAAGUUUGUAACACCGAAUCGGUCAGUACCCUUUUGGAGCUAGCCCGAUGUGGACAGAUGAUUGAGUGCAGUCGACCACGCUAGCGUAGCGG
RNAcentral lists this ribosomal RNA (1135 nucleotides) under Bacillus licheniformis. Its description in RNAcentral is "bacterial SSU rRNA". It matches the Rfam family "Bacterial small subunit ribosomal RNA", at positions 372 to 1508 of the family's 1533-position model. Lineage: Bacteria; Bacillati; Bacillota; Bacilli; Caryophanales; Bacillaceae. The record is from RNAcentral.